CCUGUAUUAAACAAAGCACUUUAGAACAAUAGUAAUUUAUUUUGUUUCUCCUAUUUCAUUCCUAGUUGUUCUGAAAAAAAUAUAUUGUUUAAGUGGGAUAACUGUAUGGAGGUUCCAACAUGUAUUAAAACAUGAUCACACACAUCGGGAUCUAUAAAAGGUUUCGGUUUCCAAAGAUGUUAUCAGGGUCCACAAAAUUUUAUUAAAGUAAUUAAUUGAGAUUAUCAAAUCAAGGUUUAAGUUUAAGAACAGCAUUUUAUUGGGAAUUAUACCAAUAUGUAUAUGUUAGUGUUUUAGUACUCAACAAGCAUUUAUAUAGAAUGAGUGCUUCUCUCAUCCAUACAAGGCAUUUUAAAGGGAAAUUAUGUAUUAAAAUUUUAUAAAGGACAUAAACAAAACUGAGAGACGUACAUGUUACACUAGUUAAGAGUUUAACUUUAGUCUCUAAUUUGAGUUUAGCCUAGAUAAUUAAUUUAUUGAUGUCGUACUGAUCCUUGUGUUUGUAUGAUUAUAGAGACCGUACUGGAGUAUUUGUGCUGCCUGAUAUUUGGGACUACACACCAAUCUCUCUGGCUGACCUACCUUUUUUUGCAAUUAAAUCUGUUUGGUCAAAAACCAUGCUGGCCGAAGAAACUGAGAUGCUUACUUAUGAGGACAUAAACUAACUUGGAAAGUCCUGAAGAUGCAGUGCUGUCUAAUGCCGCUAUUUCUGUAUUACCCUUUCAACAAUUGGGGUGUUGCACAGAGUAUUGUGGUGAACAUCCAGCAAACAGAAGAAUUAAGAACUAUGUGGAAGCUGACAUUGUCUUGUUGUCAGCCAUAUUGCUACCCUUAGCUAUGUUAUGGUGUCUAAGAUUAUGGAACAAAGUUUAUGGUGUCUAAGAUUCUUUAUACUCCUUGAAAGACUUAUAAUAUUUUUCUGGACUAUGCUGGACUAUUGAACUAUUUUGUUAUUUUUAUUUUUGUAGAGUUAGCCGGAGAGAGAGGAAGUGUUAGCUUACUCAGGCAUGGAUGUACUAUGUGUGUCAUUGAUGUAUGUUGAGUGUACCAAGGAUGGAUUCCAAGGUAUUAAGUGUGGAUAUGACUGGACUAUCGAAAUAGGGAUUUGAUUAGGAAGCAUAGGACGCAAGGUCAUGAUUGGGAUUAUUGCUAGAAUUGCAAACUGAUUAGAAAUGAUCUUAUGAUUUAAUAUGUAAGUGGCCUUUUCAAACUAAUCAAGAAGUGUUUCCCAAUCCCGAUACCUGAGCUAUUUACUUACAUAGUGCAGGUUUUAUAAGUCACUAAUGCUGUCAACGUGAGGGGAUGACAUGUUUACACAGUCAUGGCCCUCACUUAGAAUUUACCCAGAUGUGCUUUUUUUCUCAAUUAUGAGUUUUUGCCACUGGGAUUUUUGACCUGGCCCAAGUUCACUGGGUGGACUGGUUAUCCAAGACCCUGGUCCAAAGAGGGGAAAUAGAUUUUAUUCCCAUUUUUGAUUAUAUGUGUUUACGUUGUGAAUUAUAAUAAUAAUAUUCCCGUUGUUAGGAAUAAUACACUUUGCCUGUUUUGAUCCAAGGCUCAAGUUACAGAUAACAUGAUGUGCAG
Pelobates cultripes (western spadefoot toad) is the source of this 1584-nucleotide non-coding RNA. Lineage: Eukaryota; Metazoa; Chordata; Amphibia; Anura; Pelobatidae. The record is from the annotation of a GenBank genome assembly.